This 1664-nucleotide long non-coding RNA is filed under the name Marmota monax (woodchuck). Lineage: Eukaryota; Metazoa; Chordata; Mammalia; Rodentia; Sciuridae. The record is from RNAcentral.
UCCAAGAUGUUCUGACACAUUUCUCUUGUUCAUUCUUCUUGUCAGGGUUUUCAGUCCUCGUUUCCUCCCGACCUGCAGGAGAGAGAGGGAGAACACACCCUGGCCAGGAGGAGCCAAGAAAGGAGAAGGCCGACUGACUGCUGGCACUCAGCCCUCCCUCGCUGGAGGACAAUCAGACACAUCAGGGAGACAAGUCAAGGCUGGAGCUCAUUUAUUGAGGAAGCACACACAGCUAAUAUAAGGCACAGGAGCCAAUCAAGAUAAAGGUCAGAAGGGGAGGAGAGUUCUGAGCCUAUCCUAGAGGUGGUCCGAUUUUUCAUCACAACCCAGGGUAAUACCUUCUGGCUGAUUGCCAGGCACCAUCUUAGCCAUGUGCAGCCCCAAGACCAGGAAAUGAGCAUCAGUCUGCAAGUUAGGCUUCCUUUUCUCCAUCAUAGGUUUCUAUUUCUCUGAUGUAAUGUGCCCUACACUUCUAAUAUUUUUAUAGCUUUAGAUGUUGCAUGCAACAUGCACCAUUUCUACAUUAGAGCAUUCUGAAGUUGUUUCUUUACAUCCUCUUAUGAGUGAGUUUACAACUUCUGAUGUCUUCCUCUUCUCAUUAAUAUUUCUUUUUUUUCCUUAUGAAAGAAAAUCUUUUACACUCACAGCUUUUGUUUUAGAAUGUUUCUAUCUCUUAUUCAUUCCCAAAAGAUAGUUUUAUUGGAUACAAUAUUCUUAGUUAACUGAUUUUUUUUCUUAAGUUCUUUGAAAAAUCUCAUUCCACUCUCUCCUGACCUGUAGGUUUUUGCUGAGAAGUCUGUCAGGCAAAAUGGGACCCCCUUAUGUAUCAUUUGAUUCUUUUCUCUUGCUACCUUGAGAAUCUUCUUUUUAUCAUUUACCUUUGAAGGAUUGAUUAUAAUAUCUUGAGGGGGAACUGGGUGCAUUAAAUCUGAUUGGUGACUCUUAACUUUUCUGUACCUGAAUAUUUAUAUCCUUAUCUUAGUUUGGGAAGAUUUUAUUAAGAUCUAUAUGAAAGCACGUUUUAACUGUUUGACAUUCCUCUCAAGUCCCAAUACUAUGAACAUUGCCUUUUUGGUGGUUUUGUUUUUAGUGUGGCAUUCAGUAGUGACUUUUCUCCAGUCUGGCAUCAAUUCAAAACGGCAUUGAUAUUGUAUGCCUUCAACUAACCUUUACUAUCAACUGCAACAUUUGUGAAAUUAUGAGACUAAGAAUAAAGCUUUAUUUGAAACUACUGUGGAAAAUCAAUGCAUUAGUACUUUGAUACAAUAAUCACUAUGGGAGUGCAACUCAUUGCAUCCUGAGAAUUAUAGUUCCCUUGGGCAAAAUGUUAGAAAUGGUAGAAGAAAAAUGAAGAGCCUAAGUAGUAUGUGCCUAGAGUAUUAUAGAUUUAUUCAGUCCAAAGGACUAGAAAAAAGGAGUUCCUGACUAAGUCCAAUAGAAACUGUUCAAAAUAUCUGAAUUUAGCUGUCUCACAUAAAUAUAUGCACUGCUAUUUUAGAGGUGAAAAUUGGAACAAAUCAACAUACUAGAGGUCAUUGAAUGGACAACUUUUAUAUCUUGGCAAAUAUGUAUCAAUCUAGCUAUCCUCAUUAUAUUCUAUGCACAUAAGAAAAGAACUGUAAAUGAAAUACAAAAUUAUCAUUUUGGGGAUAGAUAAGAACAGC